GAUGAAGAACGUAGCGAAAUGCGAUAAGUAAUGUGAAUUGCAGAAUUCAGUGAAUCAUCGAAUCUUUGAACGCACAUUGCGCCCGGUAGUAUUCUGCCGGGCAUGCCUGUUCGAGCGUCAUUUCAACCAUCAAGCCCCAGCGCUUGUGUUGGGGGCCUGCGGCUGCCGCAGCCCCCUAAAAGCAGUGGCGGGCUCGCUAUCACACCGAGUGCAGUAGUUCAUCUUCUCUCCGGUCUUGUGAGGCGGGUUCCGGCCGUGAAACACCCAACUACAUUUCAAGGUUGACCUCGGAUCAGGUAGGAAUACCCGCUGAACUUAAGCAUAUCAAUAAGCGGAGGA
RNAcentral lists this unclassified non-coding RNA (339 nucleotides) under soil metagenome. RNAcentral's name for it is "partial contains 5.8S ribosomal RNA, internal transcribed spacer 2, and large subunit ribosomal RNA". The stretch from base 1 to 120 matches the Rfam family "5.8S ribosomal RNA", at positions 35 to 154 of the family's 154-position model. The record is from RNAcentral.